GUGGGGAAUUUUGGACAAUGGGCGCAAGCCUGAUCCAGCCAUUUCGCGUGCAGGAUGAAGGCCUUCGGGUUGUAAACUGCUUUUGUACGGAACGAAAAGCCUCUGGUUAAUACCCGGGGGUCAUGACGGUACCGUAAGAAUAAGCACCGGCUAACUACGUGCCAGCAGCCGCGGUAAUACGUAGGGUGCGAGCGUUAAUCGGAAUUACUGGGCGUAAAGCGUGCGCAGGCGGUGAUGUAAGACAGUUGUGAAAUCCCCGGGCUCAACCUGGGAACUGCAUCUGUGACUGCAUUGCUGGAGUGCGGCAGAGGGGGAUGGAAUUCCGCGUGUAGCAGUGAAAUGCGUAGAUAUGCGGAGGAACACCGAUGGCGAAGGCAAUCCCCUGGGCCUGCACUGACGCUCAUGCACGAAAGCGUGGGGAGCAAACAGGAUUAGAAACCCGGGUAGUCC
RNAcentral lists this ribosomal RNA (450 nucleotides) under uncultured bacterium. RNAcentral describes it as "partial 16S ribosomal RNA". It matches the Rfam family "Bacterial small subunit ribosomal RNA", at positions 354 to 796 of the family's 1533-position model. The record is from RNAcentral.